CGGGGCGUGGCGCAGCCCGGUAGCGCACCUGCAUGGGGUGCAGGCGGUCGUUGGUUCAAAUACAAUCGCCCAGACCA
Molecule: transfer RNA, 77 nt
Filed under: Chloroflexota bacterium
Lineage: Bacteria; Bacillati; Chloroflexota
Description: tRNA-Pro
Rfam family: tRNA
About the family: Transfer RNA (tRNA) molecules are approximately 80 nucleotides in length. Their secondary structure includes four short double-helical elements and three loops (D, anti-codon, and T loops). Further hydrogen bonds mediate the characteristic L-shaped molecular structure. tRNAs have two regions of fundamental functional importance: the anti-codon, which is responsible for specific mRNA codon recognition, and the 3' end, to which the tRNAs corresponding amino acid is attached (by aminoacyl-tRNA synthetases). tRNAs cope with the degeneracy of the genetic code in two manners: having more than one tRNA (with a specific anti-codon) for a particular amino acid; and 'wobble' base-pairing, i.e. permitting non-standard base-pairing at the 3rd anti-codon position.
Source: RNAcentral